This 71-nucleotide transfer RNA is filed under the name Sundasciurus everetti (Bornean mountain ground squirrel). RNAcentral's name for it is "Dremomys everetti tRNA-Val". It matches the Rfam family "tRNA". Rfam says of the family: Transfer RNA (tRNA) molecules are approximately 80 nucleotides in length. Their secondary structure includes four short double-helical elements and three loops (D, anti-codon, and T loops). Further hydrogen bonds mediate the characteristic L-shaped molecular structure. tRNAs have two regions of fundamental functional importance: the anti-codon, which is responsible for specific mRNA codon recognition, and the 3' end, to which the tRNAs corresponding amino acid is attached (by aminoacyl-tRNA synthetases). tRNAs cope with the degeneracy of the genetic code in two manners: having more than one tRNA (with a specific anti-codon) for a particular amino acid; and 'wobble' base-pairing, i.e. permitting non-standard base-pairing at the 3rd anti-codon position. Lineage: Eukaryota; Metazoa; Chordata; Mammalia; Rodentia; Sciuridae. The record is from RNAcentral.
CAAGAUGUAGCUUAACGAACUAAAGCACCCGGCUUACACCCGGAAGAUUUCCUAUCUCUAGAACAUCUUGA